GGAUUCUCAGCCGUUCUCUGUUGUGGAAGAUGUUGGAUUCAAAGAGCUUGUGGCAAAAUUGGACCCCACAUAUACUCUUCGAAAAUGAAAGGCUCUCAAGGACAUGGUGGCUGCAAAGUACCAGGAGGAGAGGGAGAAGGCCAAGGCAGAGAUCCAGGGUGUUGAGACCGUGAGCCUCACAUCGGAUAUGUGGACCUCCAUUAAUAUGGACGCAUAUCUGGCUGUCACCUGCCACUAUGUCAAUCAGAAUGACCAGCUGUCCACACUUCUUCUGGGGGCCAAGCCUUUUCUGAGGACCCACACAGCGGCCCACAUUGCUGCAGAAAUUGCAGCAAUGAUAGCAGAGUGGGGUCUAGCGAACAAAAUUCGAUGCAUUGUGACGGAUUCAGUGAGCAAUAUGAAUGCCACAGCAAAUACCCUGAAUUUGAGGCAAUCCAAAUGCAUCGCGCAUUGUUUGAACCUGGUUGUGAAGAACUCCAUUGAAGCCACUCCUGGCCUGGAUGAAAUUAGAGCAUUGAGCAGGAGGAUAGUCAGUUACUUUAAAACAAGCACAACAGCAAAAGAAAGGCUGAGCCAAAUGCAGCAGCAACUGGGACGCAAUGUAAAGAAACUGAAAUUGGAAGUGGACACACGCUGGAACAGCACCCUGGAAAUGCUUCAGCACCUCUAUGAAGAGAGAGAUGCAGUGGCAUUAGCUCUGUCAUCACUAAACACAGACCUGACUCCUCUGACCCACCAGCAGCAUGAAGUCACAGGGGAAUGCAUCAAGCUGCUGGCCACAUUCCAGGUAGCAACUGUGGCGCUAUCAGAGGAGAGAAGAGUGUCAGGAUCAAAAGUCAUCCCCCUCUACCGUGUUUUAAGACACACGACUGAACAACUGUAUUCCCAGCUCAUCACCUCCAUGGCACAACACCUGGCACAGAACCUUGUCAGGUACUUAGCUGACAGACUGCAAGACAAAGAAAAAAACAGUUGACUGGCUGUUGCAACACUUGUGGAUCCGCGGUUCAAAACUUUUGGCUUCACCAAUCACAGAGUGGCAGCCAGUGUGAAAGAACAUUUAAUAACCGAAUGUACAACAAUUAUUAACAUAAAGAAGGCCAAGCAGCAGCAGCAGCAGCCAUCUACGUCUCAAGCACCGCCGCAGUCUCAUCCUCCACCACCAGCAGCACCUUCCACAGUUCAACUGUGGAGCUUAUUGGAUGAAGACGCAAAUAGGGCCUGGCAAACACAAAGUGCCACAGCCAGUGCAAUUGUCAAAAUGAACCGCUACCUGGCUGAUCCUCCCAUAGAAAGAACGGCAGACCCGCUGGCUUACUGGGCCACCCACAAAACUGUAUACCCAAACUUGUAUAAUGUCGCCAAACAUUUCCUGUGUACCCCAGCCUCAUCGGUGCCGUGUGAACAGGUUUUUUCUAAGGCUGGGGAGAUAGUGAGCAAAAGAAGAAACCGUCUGAGUCCAAAAACUGUUGAUACAUUAUUAUUUCUCAAUAAAAACUCAUAACUAGUUACAUAAGCACACCCACUGCCCUGUUUCCAAGCACACCCACUGCCCUGUUUUCAAUCACACCCACUGCCCUGUUUUCAAUCACACCCUCUUUACUGCCCUCUUUACCAAUGAACCCCAAGACAUACUUUGCCUAAAUCCAUAAUAUAAUCUGUAUUUGCACCAACCCCAUGUGAAAAUGACAUUAGUCUGUAUCUAUAGAGCACAUCUCAUGAAUGUAGCAGCACCGUUUAAAUGUUUCAUAACAGAAUAUAAGUGAAGAGUAUAUAGGGUUACAAACAGACACGGCAAAUAAGAAACAUGCCCUUCAAUAGUUAUUGUCAUUAUUAUUACUAUUAUUAUUAUUGUUAUUAUUAUUAUUGUUGUAUGCACUGGAACCCAUACAAUCAUCUAAUGUAGUCAAACAGAAAUGUGUGCAUGGCGAAUCAAAUCCAAAACAAUCCAUGAACCAAUGACCACGUCUUGAUUGCGCUUCAUUUUAUUGACCACUAGAUGUCCUACUCGAGCACUGUGUGUCAUUGAGGCC
Long non-coding RNA from Amphiprion ocellaris (clown anemonefish), 2033 nucleotides. NCBI's taxonomy places the organism in Eukaryota, Metazoa, Chordata, Actinopteri, Pomacentridae. The record is from Ensembl.